This 343-nucleotide ribosomal RNA is filed under the name Escherichia coli. RNAcentral describes it as "bacterial SSU rRNA". It matches the Rfam family "Bacterial small subunit ribosomal RNA", at positions 103 to 449 of the family's 1533-position model. RNAcentral also lists the same sequence under 1 other name. The record is from RNAcentral. Lineage: Bacteria; Pseudomonadati; Pseudomonadota; Gammaproteobacteria; Enterobacterales; Enterobacteriaceae.
CGGGUGAGUAAUGUCUGGGAAACUGCCUGAUGGAGGGGGAUAACUACUGGAAACGGUAGCUAAUACCGCAUAACGUCGCAAGACCAAAGAGGGGGACCUUCGGGCCUCUUGCCAUCGGAUGUGCCCAGAUGGGAUUAGCUAGUAGGUGGGGUAACGGCUCACCUAGGCGACGAUCCCUAGCUGGUCUGAGAGGAUGACCAGCCACACUGGAACUGAGACACGGUCCAGACUCCUACGGGAGGCAGCAGUGGGGAAUAUUGCACAAUGGGCGCAAGCCUGAUGCAGCCAUGCCGCGUGUAUGAAGAAGGCCUUCGGGUUGUAAAGUACUUUCAGCGGGGAGGAA